RNAcentral lists this ribosomal RNA (277 nucleotides) under uncultured prokaryote. Its description in RNAcentral is "partial 16S ribosomal RNA". It matches the Rfam family "Bacterial small subunit ribosomal RNA", at positions 524 to 800 of the family's 1533-position model. The record is from RNAcentral.
UACGGAGGAUGCGAGCGUUAUCCGGAUUUAUUGGGUUUAAAGGGUGCGUAGGCGGGACCAUAAGUCAGCGGUGAAAGUUUUCGGCUCAACCGGAAAAUUGCCGUUGAAACUGUGGUUCUUGAGUGCAGAAGAGGUAGGCGGAGUUCGUUGUGUAGCGGUGAAAUGCGUAGAUAUAACGAAGAACACCAAUUGCGUAGGCAGCUUACCAUACUGCAACUGACGCUGAGGCACGAAAGUGUGGGUAUCAAACAGGAUUAGAUACCCCUGUAGUCCCUGA